This 23-nucleotide non-coding RNA is filed under the name Arabidopsis thaliana (thale cress). The record is from RNAcentral. Lineage: Eukaryota; Viridiplantae; Streptophyta; Magnoliopsida; Brassicales; Brassicaceae.
GCCGGUGCUUGUCGCAGCGAUCA